RNAcentral lists this ribosomal RNA (253 nucleotides) under uncultured bacterium. RNAcentral's name for it is "partial 16S ribosomal RNA". It matches the Rfam family "Bacterial small subunit ribosomal RNA", at positions 524 to 776 of the family's 1533-position model. The record is from RNAcentral.
UACAGAGGCCUCGAGCGUUAGGCGGAAUCACUGGGCUUAAAGCGUGUGUAGGUGGAUGCCUAAGUACCUUGUGAAAUCCCACGGCUUAACCGUGGAACUGCUGGGUAUACUGGGUGUCUUGAGCCACUCAGGGGCUACCGGAACAAACGGUGGAGCGGUGAAAUGCGUAGAUAUCGUUUGGAACGCCAAUGGUGAAAACAGGUAGCUGGGGGUGUGCUGACACUGAGACACGAAAGCCAGGGGAGCAAACGGG